Molecule: small RNA, 5225 nt
Filed under: Pongo abelii (Sumatran orangutan)
Lineage: Eukaryota; Metazoa; Chordata; Mammalia; Primates; Hominidae
Description: retained intron
Source: RNAcentral
CGAGGGAGGAGACUCCCGUCAGUGACUUCAUUGAGUAGGUUCUUGGGGAUUGGGGUCGGGUCCUCCCCAGGGAGAGGCGACAGGCGCUCACUGCCUCUCGGGCCCUCACAAUCACACCUGUCACAGGUAUACACACUGCCACUCACAAACACACGCUUGCACUCCCAGCCUCACUGACACGCUGCCAUACAGCCGCUCACAGCCAGCCAGACACUGCUGCACCUGAGAGCAGGUGGCCGCGGGUCUUCUCCCUUCACUCUCCACACCUGGGGAUCAGGUCCGGCACCUGCUGCGCCAGACAGGCCUUGCUGGCCACGCGCCUCUGAGAGUCCGAGGAGGUGGCUUCCAGAGCUGCAGCACUUCAGGCCGGCUCCGGUGGAGCGAUCAGAGGUGAGGGGCUUGGCUGGGCAUGUUUAAGCGCACAGUGCUCUCCUGCCCACCCCCAGCAGCACCCCCACUGCAGGCCCGAGGAGCUUUCCGGAGCUUCCCACACUCCUGGGGAGAAGACUUCUUAGCCAGCUUGAUGUUUAAAAUUCAGCUGGAGCCCUUAAAACUUCGAGCGUGGACGCUGAAUGGGUUUGUAAAGUUUCGGUAAGUCCCUCCGGAGAAGGGCACUCAUAUCCAUACCCAGUCAAACCCUCCACGCGGCCAUCCCCUCCAUUGCCUUCCUGCUUCCUCCACCUCAUCCUCAUCCCCUCUGUGACAUACAGGAAUCCCCUCCGGCCUCACCCACAUAUUUGAAUGAAUUGCACCCCUUAUCAUUCCUCUCUUUUCUCAAACCCUUCAGGUAUCCAUUUUCCGCAGACAUUUCCUCCAUUAUUUCAACUCUCUACAUUCCUCCCUUUCAACCCAUCAUUAACCCAUUUUCCACCUCAGCCAUUUCCAUCUGUCACUCAUCCCCCUCCAUCAGUACCUCAUUUUCUGUAUCAGCCAUCUCCCCUCCCUGUACCUCAACAGUCCCCCUCACCAUUUUCUCCCCAUUUUUCCUUCCUGCCUCUACCUUAACAUCCUCCUCAUUCUUCUCCAUCAAAGGCAGUGCCAUGCCAUGGGGCUCCUUUGUCAUUCCAACACGUGGCCUGUGGGUAGGGGGGAAGGGAAGGAGGGAGGAAAGCAGAAGGAGAAAAAGGAGGCAGAUCCUGAAAGAGCUUGCCCUGUGUCUGCGGAGGCAAGAGAUGUAUGGGCCUAGAGCAGCUAGCAGGUGGGUACCAGGGAGGAAGCUGGCCGGGUGCGGAGGUAAUGCAGGGACACCAAAAGGAGGUGGGUGGUUGGUGAGCCGUUCCACUGGCCCUCUGCCUGGAAGCUGCUCCCGUUCUCUAGGGGCACCUGCUUGGUGUGCUAGGGUUCUUUCCCAGUCCCAGGGGAAAGAAGGUGUGGGUUGAGGCAGAAAUGGCAGACCACCCCCAGCUCCCUCUCAGACGGCUAUUGCUGCCAUUUCCGAAAAUGGCUGCCCCCCACUCCAAGAGGUGCUCUUUCUUCUCUGCCUCUCCCAACCCCACCCCCCACCCCGUCUCCCCCACAGACGUGACAUGCUGGUGGGGGGCGAUGGGGGAGUACCCGCCUUUGUGGAGCCUUUUCUUCGUCAGAGAAAGGUGACUCCCAGAACCAUGAGUCAACCCAGCCACCUGCAGCAGGGCCUGUGGGGGCAGCAGUGAGGGCCAUUGUCCCUGCCCACCUAGGGCCUUGGGCGCCUCCCCCUUACCCGGUUACAGCCCUCACUCCUGCGGGGACACCCUGUACACCUCCCUGCUGUGAAGCAGAGGCAGAAAGGCAGGUCUCAGCUGUGGCUGCCAGCCUAGGACAUUGCUAGAAAGACUCUGGUUCUCCUGGCUUUGGCAGGGGUUGGCCAAGUCUCAGAAGGGCUGAGAAUGGCUUCUGGCCAUCCCCCAGAGAGCUCUAGCUACAGGAAAGUACCCCUUCCCCUGAUAUCCACCACAGACACACCGAUGGAGGGAGAUUGGAAUGAAGAAUUCGGGUUGUGCAUUUCUCUUUUAACAAAUGCUCCUGCACCCACCUUAAAAGGGACUCAGAGGAAUACGGGUCUGACGCUAGGCCAGAUCCUAAACCACAGGGUGGACUGGGGGCGUGGGGUGGGGCUAGGAGAGGUAUUAAGGAAAUGGUGGUUGGUUAGUGCCCAAUUGUCUCCUAACAGCUGGGGUUGAAAAAGUCCUGUCCCCAGGAUGCUUUUGUUCACUCACACUGGUGCUUAGGCGGCACAGCCCUCACAGUUUUGUGUGUAGACACUGGCAAAUGAGUAAAGAGAACUGUUGCCCUGGUUGGGGGAAGGAUAGUGUCGCCCCCACCGCUAAUGAGGGAGUUGGAAACAGCAGUUUCCAAAGGCUGUGAGUCACCCUGUGAUCUGAGUCACACGUGAGGCUUAGCAUCGUCAGAGGGGUGGGGGUGGGGAGGCCUGGGGUCUCCAGUGGCAGACAGGACUCCAGACACCCAUUCCCUGACUCAGUCUGGCUGGCCAGGACAGCUGGCAGAAGACCCAGGCCUGUUCCCAGUCCUGGGCCACUGCCCCAGCUGCCCUCAGCCUGGGCACCAUGCCUGAGGCGUGGCGUAGGAGACCACGAUGCUCAGGUGACCUCACCCGUUACACUGACCUUCGCCAGCUCCUGUGUGUGGGUUGCUCAGUCCAUGGUGCCACCUCGCUCAGCAGGGCCUCUCAGAGGUCCUCAGUCUGGCCCAAGGACCAGGGCCUCAGCCUAGCCCCAAGAGUGGGCCAGAACCUUCAGCUUCCUGCUGGGAAAACCCAGGAGGUGAGGACGGAAUCACAGAAUUCUAGAAUGUCAGAGCCAGAAGAGAUCAUCUAGUGCAAACCUUUCAUUUUACAGAUGGGGGGACACAGGCCCACAGAACAGGCAUGACCUGCCGAAGGUUACCCAGGGAGUCAUUUAGGGACUGCAAGAUCAUCAGGAACAGGGCAGGGGCAGAAGAGAAGGCAUCAAGUCUUGGCCCUGGGUUUCUUUCAGAAACAAGGAGACCAGUGCUGGUCCAGUAGCUGUGAUGGGAAAAGAUUAUUACAAGAUUCUUGGGAUCCCAUCGGGGGCCAACGAGGAUGAGAUCAAGAAAGCCUACCGGAAGAUGGCCUUGAAGUACCACCCAGACAAGAAUAAAGAACCCAACGCUGAGGAGAAGUUUAAGGAGAUUGCAGAGGCCUAUGAUGUGCUAAGUGACCCCAAGAAACGGGGCCUGUAUGACCAGUAUGGGGAGGAAGGCCUGAAGACCGGCGGUGGCACGUCAGGUGGCUCCAGUGGCUCCUUUCACUACACCUUUCACGGGGACCCCCAUGCCACCUUUGCCUCCUUCUUUGGUGGCUCCAACCCCUUCGAUAUCUUCUUUGCCAGCAGCCGCUCCACUCGGCCCUUCAGUGGCUUUGACCCAGAUGACAUGGAUGUGGAUGAAGAUGAGGACCCAUUUGGCGCUUUCGGCCGUUUUGGCUUCAAUGGGCUGAGUAGGGGUCCAAGGCGAGCCCCAGAACCACUGUACCCUCGGCGCAAGGUGCAGGACCCCCCAGUGGUGCACGAGCUGCGGGUGUCCCUGGAGGAGAUCUACCAUGGCUCCACCAAGCGCAUGAAGAUCACGAGGCGUCGCCUCAACCCUGAUGGGCGAACUGUGCGCACCGAGGACAAGAUCCUGCACAUAGUCAUCAAGCGUGGCUGGAAGGAAGGCACCAAGAUCACCUUCCCCAAAGAGGGUGACGCCACACCUGACAACAUCCCUGCUGACAUCGUCUUUGUGCUCAAAGACAAGCCCCAUGCACACUUCCGCCGAGAUGGCACCAACGUGCUCUACAGUGCCCUGAUCAGCCUCAAGGAGGCGCUGUGUGGCUGCACUGUGAACAUUCCCACCAUCGACGGCCGAGUGAUCCCUUUGCCCUGCAAUGAUGUCAUCAAGCCAGGCACCGUGAAGAGACUCCGUGGGGAGGGCCUUCCCUUCCCCAAAGUGCCAACUCAGCGGGGAGACCUCAUUGUUGAGUUCAAAGUUCGCUUCCCAGACAGAUUAACGCCACAGACAAGACAGAUCCUUAAGCAGCACCUACCCUGUUCCUAGGCUCUGCCCCAGCCAGUCCAGAGCCUACCACAGCAAUACCCCCAACACUCACUCCACUCAAUGUGCACCCAGCUUGAUGUCCACUGGACACUGGCAACUUUUUCUAAAAUGCAAAAAAAAAGCCACUGGUUUUCAGGAAAAUGUUCCUGUCCCUGACCCCUUUCAGAGCUGGGCGGCCAGCGGGGAGUGGGAGGGAGGUGGGGAGAGCUAGCCCAGGCCAGGGGUCAAUGUUCAUGUCACUAGCUUUGAAUCCAGUUUCCACUGCAGUGGCUGGAGAGUGACCUGAGUGCUACUUGAAGAUAUGUAGAGAUUCCUUAUCCAUGCCUGUACAUAGCAUGUCCUCCUCCCCUCAGCUUUGCUAAUACCAGUCCCCCUCCCUUCCCUUUGGCUUCCUGCUGUUGGGGGUGGAAGAGACUAGAAAGGACAUUGCUUUCUCAGCCCCACCCCCAGGUCCACAGUGUCCAAGGUUAUGGCACACAUAUUCAUGCACAAGAAGCACUCACCUAGAGCUGUCUGUGCCUCUCUGGGAGAGAGGAGAAAGGAUAAGAAGGGAAAGUUCACAACCUGUGAACAGGGACUUGAGCACGAGACACUUUUCCUCUGGAGCAGGGGGGUGAGCUCCUCAGCAGCCUCCGCAACAGCUGCCCUGCCUACACCUGCAGAGCUGGAGGUUCUGUCCUCCCUGCUGCUCUCAGGAGUAUUCAGGGGUGGAGGGCAGGGAAUGGGGCCUGAGGUAUUAAGGCUAAGAGGUGGGGGACAGGGCCCAUCUCCCAGCCUUCAUCAGGAAGGGAAAGGGCUUUGGGGUCAGGUGGCAGCUAUUCCCCACCAAGAGAUUCAGGGUCACAGGUUUUUCCCCACACCUCUGAACUCAGGGCCUAGCCACCCCCAAACUUCCAAAUCCCACUUUUGUGAUAUGUGAAGCUACUUAUUUCUUACCCUUGGAGGCUGUGUGGGGAAUUUCCAGCCCUUUUAUGCCUGUGUGAUCCCACCCCACCCCCACAGUUGUAUAAAGGUCAUAGUGAAGGAGCUGGGGGAAGACUGCUUCAGCCAGAUCCUGGGGUGGGGUCUUUAGGUUUUCUCACUUUGACAAGCCCCUGAAUGUUUUUAUAGUAGUUUUUUUGUAUUUUUUUGUAAUGACAGUAUUAUGUAAAAAAUAAAGUAUUUUAAAAAUA